AGUAACACGUAUCCAACCUGCCGUCUACUCUUGGACAGCCUUCUGAAAGGAAGAUUAAUACAAGGUGGCAUCAUGAGUCCGCAUGUUCACAUGAUUAAAGGUAUUCCGGUAGACGAUGGGGAUGCGUUCCAUUAGAUAGUUGGAGGGGUAACGGCCCACCAAGGCGACGAUGCGUAGCCGACCUGAGAGGGUGACCGGCCACACUGGGACUGAGACACGGCCCAG
Molecule: ribosomal RNA, 225 nt
Filed under: uncultured bacterium
Lineage: Bacteria
Description: partial 16S ribosomal RNA
Rfam family: Bacterial small subunit ribosomal RNA
Source: RNAcentral